Molecule: ribosomal RNA, 1272 nt
Filed under: Arthrobacter sp. 217
Lineage: Bacteria; Bacillati; Actinomycetota; Actinomycetes; Micrococcales; Micrococcaceae
Description: bacterial SSU rRNA
Rfam family: Bacterial small subunit ribosomal RNA
Source: RNAcentral
GCAGUCGAACGAUGAUCCCAGCUUGCUGGGGGAUUAGUGGCGAACGGGUGAGUAACACGUGAGUAACCUGCCCUUGACUCUGGGAUAAGCCUGGGAAACUGGGUCUAAUACCGGAUAUGACUCCUCAUCGCAUGGUGGGGGGUGGAAAGCUUUUGUGGUUUUGGAUGGACUCGCGGCCUAUCAGCUUGUUGGUGGGGUAAUGGCCUACCAAGGCGACGACGGGUAGCCGGCCUGAGAGGGUGACCGGCCACACUGGGACUGAGACACGGCCCAGACUCCUACGGGAGGCAGCAGUGGGGAAUAUUGCACAAUGGGCGAAAGCCUGAUGCAGCGACGCCGCGUGAGGGAUGACGGCCUUCGGGUUGUAAACCUCUUUCAGUAGGGAAGAAGCGAAAGUGACGGUACCUGCAGAAGAAGCGCCGGCUAACUACGUGCCAGCAGCCGCGGUAAUACGUAGGGCGCAAGCGUUAUCCGGAAUUAUUGGGCGUAAAGAGCUCGUAGGCGGUUUGUCGCGUCUGCUGUGAAAGACCGGGGCUCAACUCCGGUUCUGCAGUGGGUACGGGCAGACUAGAGUGCAGUAGGGGAGACUGGAAUUCCUGGUGUAGCGGUGAAAUGCGCAGAUAUCAGGAGGAACACCGAUGGCGAAGGCAGGUCUCUGGGCUGUAACUGACGCUGAGGAGCGAAAGCAUGGGGAGCGAACAGGAUUAGAUACCCUGGUAGUCCAUGCCGUAAACGUUGGGCACUAGGUGUGGGGGACAUUCCACGUUUUCCGCGCCGUAGCUAACGCAUUAAGUGCCCCGCCUGGGGAGUACGGCCGCAAGGCUAAAACUCAAAGGAAUUGACGGGGGCCCGCACAAGCGGCGGAGCAUGCGGAUUAAUUCGAUGCAACGCGAAGAACCUUACCAAGGCUUGACAUGAACCGGAAAGACCUGGAAACAGGUGCCCCGCUUGCGGUCGGUUUACAGGUGGUGCAUGGUUGUCGUCAGCUCGUGUCGUGAGAUGUUGGGUUAAGUCCCGCAACGAGCGCAACCCUCGUUCUAUGUUGCCAGCGCGUGAUGGCGGGGACUCAUAGGAGACUGCCGGGGUCAACUCGGAGGAAGGUGGGGACGACGUCAAAUCAUCAUGCCCCUUAUGUCUUGGGCUUCACGCAUGCUACAAUGGCCGGUACAAAGGGUUGCGAUACUGUGAGGUGGAGCUAAUCCCAAAAAGCCGGUCUCAGUUCGGAUUGGGGUCUGCAACUCGACCCCAUGAAGUCGGAGUCGCUAGUAAUCG